This is a non-coding RNA of Paramisgurnus dabryanus, 834 nucleotides long. Lineage: Eukaryota; Metazoa; Chordata; Actinopteri; Cypriniformes; Cobitidae. The record is from RefSeq and is a predicted model, not a curated record.
GCAGGUUGUUCUAAGAGAGCAUGAAGUCCACCACAACUAAUGGUAAACUGUCUCUGACCGAUGACUCGAACUGUGAAGUACUUCUUGAGGGAUAAAUAGGAGAUCUCAGAUCUGAGGGGUUCAGGUGUGUGAGGCUCAUGUGCAGGAUGGACCAUGAGGUUCUACAGUGAUGCGAGCUCCAAAGUGAGUGCCAUGCUGAAGCCUUGCCGGACAUCUGCUGCUCUUGCAUCUCACGACCCGGCCCAUCUGGCCCAGCCAGUCUUUCCUCUUGACAAAGAUGGUUGUUCAUGCCAGGAACAUUCUUUUUCAGCCUUUCUUCUUCGCUCUCAUCAUUCACAUUUCUAGAAGAAUAUGUGAGGACCAUCAGAUCCGAAUAUUUGGAAGAAAUUUCUCUUUGAGCUUUGCCACGGGGACCGUUAUGCUCUGAAGACAGGGGAUGUGACACUAUCGGGUAUAUCAGGCCACACCAGUAAUCAUCUCCUGCUAAAACACCAGCUGAGCAGGAAAAAAGGUAGAGAGACUCCAACAACACCCCCUGACCCAAAACCGCCCACUUGCACCAGACAGAAACACAGCAGGCAGCUAAUUAGCAUGUGCUAAUGAGAUCCUGUGCCAAGGUGACCGGCUUUCAAUAGUGCGGGGAAAGCGUGGUGCUUGUAAACACAAUUACAAACAAGCUUGACAUGCUUCGCAACUCAAAACAGCAAAUUUAGUAAAGUGUACACAGAAUAAGCUUUAAAAUACAAUCCAUAGGUGCCGAAGGGAUAGUUUCCUGAAGUCAAUUCUUUUUGUUAUUCUAUGGCUCAGUUGGUACUGAUAGAGCAUAGAGUUGGU